GACGAACGCUGGCGGCGUGCCUAAUACAUGCAAGUCGAGCGAGUCUGCCUUGAAGAUCGGAGUGCUUGCACUCUGUGAAACAAGAUACAGGCUAGCGGCGGACGGGUGAGUAACACGUGGGUAACCUGCCCAAGAGAUCGGGAUAACACCUGGAAACAGAUGCUAAUACCGGAUAACAACAGAUGAUGCCUAUCAACUGUUUAAAAGAUGGUUCUGCUAUCACUCUUGGAUGGACCUGCGGUGCAUUAGCUAGUUGGUAGGGUAACGGCCUACCAAGGCGAUGAUGCAUAGCCGAGUUGAGAGACUGAUCGGCCACAUUGGGACUGAGACACGGCCCAAACUCCUACGGGAGGCAGCAGUAGGGAAUCUUCCACAAUGGACGCAAGUCUGAUGGAGCAACGCCGCGUGAGUGAAGAAGGGUUUCGGCUCGUAAAGCUCUGUUGUUGGUGAAGAAGGACAGGGGUAGUAACUGACCUUUGUUUGACGGUAAUCAAUUAGAAAGACACGGCUAACUACGUG
RNAcentral lists this ribosomal RNA (519 nucleotides) under uncultured bacterium. RNAcentral's name for it is "partial 16S ribosomal RNA". It matches the Rfam family "Bacterial small subunit ribosomal RNA", at positions 28 to 507 of the family's 1533-position model. The record is from RNAcentral.